CUUGUCGCACUGUCUCACCAAUGGAUGGUGGUGUUUGUGUAUUAAUUGCGUAAAACAAGCAAAAUGUGUGGAAAAUCGGUUCAGUUUACAGCAGAGCCAUUCAGCCGAUUAAGCUAUACUCGAGGCUUUGGACGAAGGAGAGGCAAGUCGCCGUUCUUUACUGGACUUGAAGAGAACCAUCUUCUGGAAGAUGGCCAUCUGGAUCAGAUAGUCCCUUCCCUUAAUUCUCCCAUGCAUUGCUCACCCAAGUCCCAAGGAAACUCUGAACCUGGGGAACGAUAUUCUCGCAAGGUAUUUGUUGGUGGGCUUCCCCCGGACAUUGAUGAAGAGGAAAUUACAGCAAGUUUUAGACGAUUUGGCCCUCUGGUGGUGGAUUGGCCACACAAAGCAGAAAGCAAGUCUUACUUUCCACCUAAAGGUUAUGCGUUCUUGUUGUUCCAAGACGAGUCCUCUGUUCAGGCCCUGAUUGACGCAUGCAUCCAGGAGGACGAGAAACUGUACCUCUGUGUUUCUAGUCCCACAAUCAAAGAUAAACCGGUCCAGAUCCGACCUUGGCGACUCAGUGAUGCUGAUUUUGUAUUGGAUGCCUCCAUGCCGCUUGAUCCCAGAAAAACUGUCUUUGUGGGUGGAGUUCCUCGCCCCUUGAAAGCUGUGGAAUUGGCUAUGAUCAUGGACCGAUUAUAUGGAGGAGUGUGCUAUGCGGGCAUUGACACAGACCCAGAACUGAAAUACCCAAAGGGAGCGGGAAGAGUGGCGUUUUCCAACCAGCAGAGCUACAUAGCUGCUAUCAGUGCUCGUUUCGUGCAGCUGCAACACGGAGACAUUGAAAAGAGGGUGGAAGUCAAACCAUAUGUUCUAGACGAUCAAAUGUGUGAUGAAUGCCAAGGAGCUCGAUGUGGAGGAAAAUUUGCCCCCUUUUUCUGUGCUAAUGUCACCUGCCUCCAGUACUAUUGUGAACACUGCUGGGCCACGAUCCACUCUCGUCAAGGACGCGAAUUUCACAAGCCACUGGUGAAGGAAGGGGCUGAUCGGCCUCGGCCAGUACCAUUUCGCUGGUGUUAGAGUGACAGAGGAUCUCUGCAUAUGUUUCUGAGUAGCGAUUUCCAUGCCACUUCCCUAAUCUUUCUGAAACACCAGCUUUUUUUAGGCAUUUCUAGGUGUGGCUUGUGGUGUGGUAGCACAGCCACUUAAGUUUUACUGUUCUUUAUGUGUUUGUUCCUUCACCACUCUGGAAAUUAAAUAUGUGGCUGUAGACAUAUUUUCAGAAGUUCGUAAUAUAUAUAUAUCAUAAAAUUUACAUUUAAUAUACAUAUAUAAAUAUAUAUAUCUAUAUUUUUUUCUUUUUUUGAUAGUUAAGUGAGGGUGGGAAAAGUCAUAUUGCUUGCUUCUCUGUACUCAUUGCUGCUAAUGAGACGAGAAACAGAAUAUACCAGUUGAAGUUUUUACUUCCUGGAAUUUUUAGACAGAAAGUAACAUAAAACAAUGUUUUUAUUUUGUCCCAUUAUUAUAUUAUUAUCUAGGAAAUCUGUUUAUAGAAUAUCUAGACCAUCAAUUUGACUUUCAUGUUGUGAUAACUUGUUUGUAAUUUAUCUACCUGAGGGGGUUCUCCCAGGAUCCUGAAUGUUUACUGCUUCAAUAACUUACUCAACCUAGUCAGCACGUGCUCCUCUGACAAGGGUUAGAAUUGGAAGUCCCUAGUCCUGGAGUAGUGCAUUUUUAAUGUGAUUUCAAAAUGUUAGUUGUUGCCUUAUAUAUUUUAGCUUAAAACAUUGUACUACCUUAUGGUAAAACACUGUACUACCUUAUGGUAAAACACUGUACUACCUUACGGUAAAACACUGUACUACCUUACGGUAAAACACUGUACUACCUUAUGGUAAAACACUGUACUACCUUACGGUAAAACACUGUACUACCUUACGGUAAAACACUGUACUACCUUAUGGUAGCUUGGUCAUUGGACAACGCUCAUUCAGUCAGUCCUCAGUGUACCUUCCCGUUUUGAUUCUCCCUCACGUGAGCAAUAAAUCCAGGCCUUAACUUUUAGAAGACCUUUUGGCCUCCAUCCUACUUUUCUUACUAGGCCUUUUUAAAAAAAAUUAAGUUCAAAGCUGGACUUUCCGCACCAGCAUUUUUACAGUCAUUGUUUGUAGACUAUGAUUCAUUCUCAGAUAACACUUUAAAUUAAUCAGGUAGCAAGAGUUGUACCUGUUAUUCAGACUCAAUUGAAAGGUGUUGUGGCUUUUACCUGUCUUCUAAUAAUCCCAGGUCAUUCUUACAGGCUUUUCUUCACAUCUGGAUUUGUGCAAAGAGCAUAAUGAACAUGCAUGCAAGUGCAGUUCAUGUUGAUGUGUUGCUUAUUCAGCAUGGGAAGACAGUGUUCCUUGACAUAUAUCUAUGGGUGGAGCCAUGCAUAAGACUUGUUAGUACAAUAACCUCCACAAUUAAGUAGAAAUAUUACAGAUUUUCUUAUCCUCACAAGAUACCUCAGUCUCCUAGCAAACAAUGAACUUGUACAGAAUUGCAGAAAAACUUCCAAAGUGAUUGACUGAGAGGAAAGAGAGCAGAUUUAUUGAUAGGAUAUGUGCAAUUAGCCUAACUGUGAUGGAAAGUAUGACUGCUCUUCUGUGGGGAAUAUAAACGUACAUUCAGGUGUUAUGCUGGAUGUUUCUGUAUGGUUAGGAGUGUGUAUGUGUGCUUCUGUCUGUAUGUAUGUGUGUCUAGGUGGUAGCAUUCAAGCAUUUUUGCAGUGUUUAAUCACAUAGGUACUUCAAGUAAAGCUGUGUAAUAAAGUCGGCUCUUUUAAGGUUAGCUUGUCUACAUCUUAAAAACAAAGAUUUAGAUGAAAACUAUGUCUAGUUAUUUCUUAAGUCAGUGUACCUCUUAUCUAGUCCUUUUGAAAUUUUUGAGCAUUAAUUUUAGAACUGUUGUUGUUUGUAGCUGUUCAGCCAUACAAAGUUAAUUAAUAAACACCAAAAAGUGUCUGAAUUAGUGUUGGAUAAAGUUCAGUAUUACUUGUGGAGCACUUGCUUGUUCGGUGUCUGAUUAUCUCUCUUUUUUUUUUUAAGCAUCUGUCUUGUUGAAUGUGACUUUCAGUUCAGAGUAAUUCAUCUAAGUUUCUGUUACUGCUACACCUAAGAAAAAGGUAUUGUCCUACAAAAGGACGUUAUUUUAUAGCCACAGGGGACAAUCACAUCUACCUAGCAACAUGGAGAAAGCUGCACUAGUGAACUCUAAUUUUGGGAGCUUCCACUGGAAUGCUUCAAAGUCUGUGUUUGAUGUUCUCUUUCCAGUGACUUUUUUUUAACAUUUUUGUUAUGACUGCUUUCUUUUCUUAUAUUCCAUGGUACAACAUUUGAAAUGUUGAAGUCAGGUACUCUGUUGUCAUUUUUUGGUUUUCUAUAUAAAAAAAAAAUCUCACCUUUAGACUGACUUUCUGAAGUAAGAGAGUUUUUAUCUAUUGUGUAUCUCCUAUUUUUCCAGUUCAGGUGUUAUACUUGAUCCUACAAAGUCUUUCUAAGUGUCUGCGAUAUGCCAGGGUUUUCAAAUGGCUAAUCUAGUUUUUAUUCUAAGUACAAUAACAGGGGCCCAUCUUGAAAAGUAUCCAGAUCUUCUCAGGUUAAGAAAUAAAUGUGAGAAAGAAAAAAAGAUAAUAUGCAGAUUAAUGCAAAAUGAUGGGUGGUAAUAAUGAUAGAUUAAAGAUCAGAAUUGAAAACCUGGUCUACUUAUUUACCAGAGAUUUUACAAAGCACCAUGGUUUGGAUGUAGUUAUAAUUACAGAAAAAGGAUCUGUAAAAACUGAAAUUUAGUACAAAAAAAACCAAAGAAAACAAAAACCCAUUAAACCUAGGUAAUGGUUGAACAUAUCACAGUAGGUUAUAUUGUUCACUCAGGUUGAAGUAUGCUUGUUAGGUACUUAAACAUGUUCUGUAUGUGAUCCCAGUAUAAGUAAGCUGUUUAUAGCAUACCUUAAGACUCUCAGUGGUUGGUGCCAAACACCCUUAAUGGACAUGUUCACGGGUGUGUCAAGGUACUAUCAUUUGUUUUUGUUUAGUUAUAGUAUUGAUUUUUUUAUUUAUUAAUAAUUAUUUAUUUUUGUUGUAUGUAAUGAAUUUAGUCCUUGGUAUAUUUCACUAGUGAAGCUACAACUUGGUGUCACCAAUUUUUGGGUUCUGCACUGGCAAAGUUGGAGUUGACACAUGUGUGAAUAAAUGUUGUAUAAAUAAAUGUUUCCCAAAAUAUACAGAAACAUUUUAUAUUGUAUUAUUGAUUUAAAACUUCUCGUGAAAUUGUUUCUUAUGAAUGUGUAAAAGUUCUUUUAUUUUAACAUUCUAAUAUAUUUUCCCCAAGAGAUGAUGCUUUUUAAAAAACUUUUUUAUUAUAAUAGAACCUACACAUAAAUAAAUAUAUCUUUUAAUAACCUUUGUAAUUAAUGUUACAUUUUCUCAAGAUUUAUAAUGUUCACUAUUUUGUAUUUUUCUGAUUGCUGUAGUGUUUCUGAUGGAAUCUUUUGACAAUUUAGUGUUAUAGCACCAUACAGUAUAUAGCAGACUUUAUUUUUCUUAUGGUGCUAUGUGUACAAUUAAUAUGACAUUUUAUUGCACCUGUAGCUUCUUAUGAAGCACUAGUCAGGUUACAUGUGAUUACUCACUAUAAAGAUAUGUACAUGUAAUCCCAUUUGAAACCAUAAUACACAACAUUACUGUGCAAUAUCAACUUAUUCGUGUAUCUAUAGAGAAUUUGGUUUUGAGCAAGUGAAAUGGUGGUGGUAUAUAAGAUGUUUGUAGUGGAUGACCACCUUUUACAAGUAUUCGAUUACUUAAUCUAUUAUGUGAACAAAAUUCAAUCACGUCCUAGAAAUUUGAUAUUUUACUCCACUUUUCACGAAUAGGCUACAGGUGUAUUUAUAUUCUGUAUUCUCUUGUUACAAGAUUUUUUUAAGUCUGUGUCUGUCCUUUUGUAUUUACUAUUAACCAUAAGAAAUUGGAACAAUUUCAACAAUGACAUCACCGAGUUCCAUACAAAAGUUUCUUUGAGAGGGUUGGGAGAAUAAAAACAUCGUAUGGAUAGCAAGAAAAAAAAAUCCCCUUACUUUCUGACAGUAUGGAAGAUUUUAAAAUGACAGACCAUUCUCCAAAAGCCAAAAGUGUUUCAAGAAUACCAUGCAAGAGCCUUCUAAGUUUUUUUCCAGUGUAAAAGAAUGUUAAUCUGGACAAAACUGAGAAACUUAUGAGCAGGAAAUGUUGAUAAAAAAUGUAUUUAGUCAUUGGCAUUGAAAUUUUCUUAACCUCUUAGUUCUGUUAAAACAUAUUAUUACUGUUUAAAAAAAAUGCUUUUUAAAAACUAUAUUAAGGUUUAGUUUUAUUAUUCAGCAUAAUUUCAUAUUUCAAUGUAUUGUCUGUGUUAAACAUCUGAAUUUUGUAUUGGUAUUUUGAGUUAUGGAAAGUUUAUUUUUGUAAAGUUUUUUAAUAGUAAUUUUCUACAGCUGUUCAUUUUAUAGACUAAAAUAUUAAUAGCAUGAUUGGUUGACAAGAAGAUUGUUUGAUAUAACUGAUAAUUGUUUAAUGACUGGCUAUGCAAGCUGUGCUUAGUCAAUUUUGUGUUGAUUUCGUAACUCUCUUGUGUUUGGGGUUUUUAAAGACUUUUUAUAGGGGUUUUAGUGGCUUGAGAAAAAGCUAAAAGGGAUGUUUUCAAAAAAAAAUUAAUUUUUUACCAGACAGCUUUUUUUGUCAAACCUGAAAACAGGCAUUUACAGCACGACACUUCAAAGCUUAUUUUCAUGGUCAACUAUUUUUAUGGGGUUUUAAAAUUAUUUUUUUGCAGAGAAAUUGGGGUGUUGCAUUUACAUGAUUUUCUGAAGUUGUUAAUAGCAAGUGCUCCAACUUGUACCUCACAGUUUGUGUGGGAAUGGACAAGAUCUUAAAUCUUUCCUGCUGUAAACAAGUUGAGCUGUAGAAAUCGUAAGAGAUGUGACCUGAUUUUGGGGUAACCAUUGUUAUUAGCACAGAGUUUCUACUACGUUUUUAAAUAAAAUACUAUUUCAUAUUCCUUUUGUUUAAUACAAUUUUGACAUGCAUGAUGACGUUUUGUAUACUAUUUGUUCAAUUAAUUUAUUUUGAUCUGAAUUUUUUGGUAAUACAAUAUUUCUGCAUGUUUUGAACAAUGGUUUGUACCUGUAGUGUUUAAGACCACUAGAUUCCUUGUCCUAUGGAAUCUUUGUGUAUGGUAAUUUAUUGUAGUUUCAUUAAAAGCAAAGCAAAAACUCA
Molecule: unclassified non-coding RNA, 6266 nt
Filed under: Limulus polyphemus (Atlantic horseshoe crab)
Lineage: Eukaryota; Metazoa; Arthropoda; Merostomata; Xiphosura; Limulidae
Description: cytoplasmic polyadenylation element-binding protein 2-like, transcript variant X4
Source: RNAcentral